UUUGAAGUUUUUAUUGAUUCCAGCUUUAAAAAGCGAUGUUCCCAGUGGACAAUGUGGCUAUGGUUACAUUUAUUGCAGCAGAACGUAAGAACUUGAAAGCUUCUUCUUAAAAGGUUGAAAAGAAGACAAUUUUGUCUUCCUUCAUAUCAUCAAGUUUAAUUAUUGGCAUUAAGUCCCAGUUGGCAAGAACAGCAUGUCACAUGGAUCCAUUUCUGUCUCAGGAAAGCCUCCAGACACUGUGGCAGGACACUGAAUACAGAAGAGCAGCCAGGAGUGUGACCUUUGCUUCCAUCAAUAUUGACUGCAGAGAAAGGAAGUGAAUCACCAUAAUACAGUAUCUCUAACUCCUUGAAUCUGCAGCUGGUCCAGAAGGAUACCAUGACUAAAGAUCCUCUCUGGGAUUUUAGGAAUGUUGAGACGUGCUAGUUACAAAGCCCUAAAUGCAACAUGGUCACGGAUGGCUAGAACGAGGCAUGUUCUAAUGGAAACAAAUCACUUGUCAGUAAGGAGCCUUCAAACCCUGAACAAAAGCUCCGAAAAAGGCAUGUUUGUUGGCGUUAAAAAAAUUGUCUGGAAGCAAGUCUGCAACACAAAAAAAUUUCACAAUUAUUUAAUGUCAAAUAAUGGCUGACUAGCUGACAGGAAGAUGGUACCCAUCAGAUAUUGCAAAAGAUCAGAUAGCUUGGGUAUUUAUGUCACUAUUUUCAACCAGACAAUCUAAGUUUCAGUUCUUUGUUGUGCACCCACCCCUCUCCUAGAAGAAUGAAAUAUUCUAGGAAAUAUUAA
Non-coding RNA from Thamnophis sirtalis, 786 nucleotides. The record is from RefSeq and is a predicted model, not a curated record. NCBI's taxonomy places the organism in Eukaryota, Metazoa, Chordata, Lepidosauria, Squamata, Natricidae.